Molecule: transfer RNA, 72 nt
Filed under: Bos taurus (domestic cattle)
Lineage: Eukaryota; Metazoa; Chordata; Mammalia; Artiodactyla; Bovidae
Also listed under: 4 other names
Rfam family: tRNA
About the family: Transfer RNA (tRNA) molecules are approximately 80 nucleotides in length. Their secondary structure includes four short double-helical elements and three loops (D, anti-codon, and T loops).
Source: Rfam by way of RNAcentral
UCCCUGGUAGCUCAGAGGUUAAAGCAUCUGCCUGCAAUGCAGGAGACCUGGGUUUGAUUCCUGGGCUGGGAA